Orcinus orca (killer whale) is the source of this 73-nucleotide non-coding RNA. The record is from the annotation of a RefSeq genome assembly. NCBI's taxonomy places the organism in Eukaryota, Metazoa, Chordata, Mammalia, Artiodactyla, Delphinidae.
UCCCUGAUGGUCCAGUGGUCAAGACUUUGCUCUUCUACUGCAGGGGGCACAGGUUCGAUCCCUGAUCGGGGAA